UCCGGUUUAUCACCGGCAGUCUCUCCAGAGUGCUCAGCUUUACCUGUUAGCAACAGGAGGCAAGGGUUGCGCUCGUUGCGGGACUUAACCCAACAUCUCACGACACGAGCUGACGACAGCCAUGCAGCACCUCUAUAUGGGUCCCGAAGGAAAACCGUAUCUCUACGGCUGUCCCAUACAGUUCAAACCCCGGUAAGGUUCUUCGCGUUGCGUCGAAUUGAACCACAUGCUCCACCGCUUGUGCGGGCCCCCGUCAAUUCCUUUGAGCUUCAGCCUUGCGACUGUACUCCCCAGGCGGAGUGCUUAAUGCGUUAGCUUCGGCACAGGAGGGUUAAUACCCCCUACACCCAGCACUCAUCGUUUACAGCUAGGACUAC
This 377-nucleotide unclassified non-coding RNA is filed under the name uncultured Acidobacteriota bacterium. RNAcentral's name for it is "uncultured Acidobacteria bacterium contains 16S-23S intergenic spacer region". Lineage: Bacteria; Pseudomonadati; Acidobacteriota. The record is from RNAcentral.